This 449-nucleotide ribosomal RNA is filed under the name Anomalocera patersoni. Its description in RNAcentral is "SSU rRNA". It matches the Rfam family "Eukaryotic small subunit ribosomal RNA", at positions 51 to 501 of the family's 1831-position model. Lineage: Eukaryota; Metazoa; Arthropoda; Copepoda; Calanoida; Pontellidae. The record is from RNAcentral.
AUGCAUGUCUAAGUACAAGCCUAACUAAGGUGAAACCGCGAAUGGCUCAUUAAAUCACACCUAAUCUACUGGAAUGUUAGCAGUUACUUGGAUAACUGAGGUAAUUCUUGAGCUAAUACAUGCGAAAAAUCUCGACUCACGGAGAGAUGCUUUUAUUAGAUCAAAACCAAACAGCUUCGGCUGUACAACUGGUGACUCUGAAUAACUUUGGGCUGAUCGCAUUGCCUUGUGCAGGCGACAUUUCCUUCGAAGGUGUGCCCUAUCAACUGUCGACUGUGAUAUAGACGCUCACAGUGGUUUUGACGGGUAACGGGGAAUCAGGGUUCGAUUCCGGAGAGGGAGCCUUAAAAACGGCUACCACAUCCAAGGAAGGCAGCAGGCACGCAAAUUACCCAAUGAUCGAAGAUCGAGGUAGUGACGAAAAAUAACAAUACAAGACUCUUCCGAGG